Molecule: ribosomal RNA, 668 nt
Filed under: Salmonella enterica subsp. enterica serovar Anatum
Lineage: Bacteria; Pseudomonadati; Pseudomonadota; Gammaproteobacteria; Enterobacterales; Enterobacteriaceae
Also listed under: 1 other name
Description: partial 23S ribosomal RNA
Rfam family: Bacterial large subunit ribosomal RNA
Source: RNAcentral
GUGGACGCCAGUCUGCAUGGAGCCGACCUUGAAAUACCACCCUUUAAUGUUUGAUGUUCUAACGUGGACCCGUGAUCCGGGUUGCGGACAGUGUCUGGUGGGUAGUUUGACUGGGGCGGUCUCCUCCUAAAGAGUAACGGAGGAGCACGAAGGUUGGCUAAUCCUGGUCGGACAUCAGGAGGUUAGUGCAAUGGCAUAAGCCAGCUUGACUGCGAGCGUGACGGCGCGAGCAGGUGCGAAAGCAGGUCAUAGUGAUCCGGUGGUUCUGAAUGGAAGGGCCAUCGCUCAACGGAUAAAAGGUACUCCGGGGAUAACAGGCUGAUACCGCCCAAGAGUUCAUAUCGACGGCGGUGUUUGGCACCUCGAUGUCGGCUCAUCACAUCCUGGGGCUGAAGUAGGUCCCAAGGGUAUGGCUGUUCGCCAUUUAAAGUGGUACGCGAGCUGGGUUUAGAACGUCGUGAGACAGUUCGGUCCCUAUCUGCCGUGGGCGCUGGAGAACUGAGGGGGGCUGCUCCUAGUACGAGAGGACCGGAGUGGACGCAUCACUGGUGUUCGGGUUGUCAUGCCAAUGGCACUGCCCGGUAGCUAAAUGCGGAAGAGAUAAGUGCUGAAAGCAUCUAAGCACGAAACUUGCCCCGAGAUGAGUUCUCCCUGAGACUUAGAGUCUC